Molecule: ribosomal RNA, 888 nt
Filed under: Escherichia coli
Lineage: Bacteria; Pseudomonadati; Pseudomonadota; Gammaproteobacteria; Enterobacterales; Enterobacteriaceae
Description: partial 23S ribosomal RNA
Rfam family: Bacterial large subunit ribosomal RNA
Source: RNAcentral
GAAAGGCGCGCGAUACAGGGUGACAGCCCCGUACACAAAAAUGCACAUAUUGUGAGCUCGAUGAGUAGGGCGGGACACGUGGUAUCCUGUCUGAAUAUGGGGGGACCAUCCUCCAAGGCUAAAUACUCCUGACUGACCGAUAGUGAACCAGUACCGUGAGGGAAAGGCGAAAAGAACCCCGGCGAGGGGAGUGAAAAAGAACCUGAAACCGUGUACGUACAAGCAGUGGGAGCCUCUUAAUGGGGUGACUGCGUACCUUUUGUAUAAUGGGUCAGCGACUUAUAUUCUGUAGCAAGGUUAACCGAAUAGGGGAGCCGAAGGGAAACCGAGUCUUAACUGGGCGUUAAGUUGCAGGGUAUAGACCCGAAACCCGGUGAUCUAGCCAUGGGCAGGUUGAAGGUUGGGUAACACUAACUGGAGGACCGAACCGACUAAUGUUGAAAAAUUAGCGGAUGACUUGUGGCUGGGGGUGAAAGGCCAAUCAAACCGGGAGAUAGCUGGUUCUCCCCGAAAGCUAUUUAGGUAGCGCCUCGUGAAUUCAUCUCCGGGGGUAGAGCACUGUUUCGGCAAGGGGGUCAUCCCGACUUACCAACCCGAUGCAAACUGCGAAUACCGGAGAAUGUUAUCACGGGAGACACACGGCGGGUGCUAACGUCCGUCGUGAAGAGGGAAACAACCCAGACCGCCAGCUAAGGUCCCAAAGUCAUGGUUAAGUGGGAAACGAUGUGGGAAGGCCCAGACAGCCAGGAUGUUGGCUUAGAAGCAGCCAUCAUUUAAAGAAAGCGUAAUAGCUCACUGGUCGAGUCGGCCUGCGCGGAAGAUGUAACGGGGCUAAACCAUGCACCGAAGCUGCGGCAGCGACACUAUGUGUUGUUGGGUAGGGGAGCG